AUUGAACGCUGGCGGCAGGCUUAACACAUGCAAGUCGAGCGAGCGGCGGACGGGUGAGUAAUGUCUGGGGAACUGCCCGAUGGAGGGGGAUAACUACUGGAAACGGUAGCUAAUACCGCAUACCAUCGGAUGUACCCAGAUGGGAUUAGCUCGUAGGUGGGGUAAUGGCUCACCUAGGCGACGAUCUCUAGCUGGUCUGAGAGGAUGAACAGCCACACUGGAACUGAGACACGGUCCAGACUCCUACGGUAGGCAGCAGUGGGGAAUAUUUCACAAUGGGCGCAAGCCUGAUGCAGCCAUGCCGCUUGUGUGAAGAAGGCCUUAGUGUUUUAAAGCACUUUCAGCGAGGAGGCGUUACUGGCAGAAGAAGCACCGGCUAACUCCGUGCCAGCAGCCGCGGUAAUUC
This 406-nucleotide ribosomal RNA is filed under the name uncultured bacterium. Its description in RNAcentral is "partial 16S ribosomal RNA". It matches the Rfam family "Bacterial small subunit ribosomal RNA", at positions 30 to 526 of the family's 1533-position model. The record is from RNAcentral.